Molecule: ribosomal RNA, 492 nt
Filed under: uncultured bacterium
Lineage: Bacteria
Description: partial 16S ribosomal RNA
Rfam family: Bacterial small subunit ribosomal RNA
Source: RNAcentral
AGUGAACGCUGGCGGUAGGCCUAACACAUGCAAGUCGAACGGCAGCACAGUAAGAGCUUGCUCUUACGGGUGGCGAGUGGCGGACGGGUGUGGAAUACAUCGGAAUCUACUUUUUCGUGGGGGAUUACGUAGGGAAACUUACGCUAAUACCGCAUACGACCUACGGGUGAAAGCAGGGGAUCUUCGGACCUUGCGCGAUUGAAUGAGCCGAUGUCGGAUUAGCUAGUUGGCGGGGUAAAGGCCCACCAAGGCGACGAUCCGUAGCUGGUCUGAGAGGAUGAUCAGCCACACUGGAACUGAGACACGGUCCAGACUCCUACGGGAGGCAGCAGUGGGGAAUAUUGGACAAUGGGCGCAAGCCUGAUCCAGCCAUACCGCGUGGGUGAAGAAGGCCUUCGGGUUGUAAAGCCCUUUUGUUGGGAAAGAAAAGCAGCAGGUUAAUACCCCGCUGUUCUGACGGUACCCAAAGAAUAAGCACCGGCUAACUUCGUG